RNAcentral lists this ribosomal RNA (484 nucleotides) under uncultured bacterium. Its description in RNAcentral is "partial 16S ribosomal RNA". It matches the Rfam family "Bacterial small subunit ribosomal RNA", at positions 29 to 507 of the family's 1533-position model. The record is from RNAcentral.
AUUGAACGCUGGCGGCAGGCCUAACACAUGCAAGUCGAGCGGAUGAGGGGAGCUUGCUCCUGGAGUCAGCGGCGGACGGGUGAGUAAUGCCUAGGAAUCUGCCUGGUAGUGGGGGAUAACGUCCGGAAACGGGCGCUAAUACCGCAUACGUCCUGAGGGAGAAAGUGGGGGAUCUUCGGACCUCACGCUAUCAGAUGAGCCUAGGUCGGAUUAGCUAGUUGGUGGGGUAAAGGCCUACCAAGGCGACGAUCCGUAACUGGUCUGAGAGGAUGAUCAGUCAACAUGGAAAUGGGAAAAGGGCCCGAACUCCUAGGGAGGGCGGCGGGGGGAAAUUUUGGACAAGGGCGGAAGCCUUAUCCCGGCCAGGCGGGGGGGGGAAGAAGGUCUUCGGAGUUGUAAGCCGCUUAAGUUGGGAGGAAGGGCAUUAAGGUUAAACCUUCCUGGGUUGACGGGACCAAGAGAAAAAGGCACGGCUAACUUCGGG